UGGGGAGUGAUUUCUUAAUGGGUAUAGGGUUCUUUUAUGGGGUGAUGAAAGUGCUUUGGAACCAGAUGGAAGUGGUGAUCGCACAACAUUGUGAAUGUACUAAAGGCUGCUGAUUUGUACACUUUAAAAAAUAUCUUCAGGUGUUCAAUAUUGCUUUCAGUCUAUUUUGGUAAGAUUUUUCUAGAAAAUUGUUUAUUUUGUCUGUUUUAAAAGUUGUUCCUUUGUGGAUAUCAUCUGUUUGUCAUUGGUGUUCUGCAGUUUCAUUAUGAUUUAUGUGUCUUUUUUCCACAUAAAUUUUUCAAAGUUAUUCCUUUGUGGUUAUCAUCUGUUUGUCAUUGGUGUUCUGCAGUUUCACUCUGAUUUAUGGGUGUUUUUCCCCUUCUGGUUCAGUCCUCAGAGAUAUGUGGAUUUAUUUUUAUCCUGUAUGGAGCCUGUGCUUCCUGAAUUUAAGGAUUCAUGUCCUUCAACAGUUCUGGAAGACUGUAGCCAUUAUUUCUUUGAAUACUGCCUCUCCUCAUUUGCUUUCACCCUUCUGGAACUUUUUAUUUCUAACUUUCUGGUUAAGCUAUCCAUUGAAUUUUUAUUAUUAUUUUUUGAGACAUAGUUUCACUUUUGCCCAGGUUGAAGUGCAGUGGCACGAUCAUAGCUCAGAUCAUAGCUCACUGCAAACUUUUGACCAUAGCUCACUGCAACCUCGAACUCUUGGGCUCAAGUGAUCCUCCCGCCUCAGCCUCCCAAGAGGCUGGGGCUACAGGCAGAUGCCACCACACCUGGCUGAAGUUUGAAAAUUUUUUCAGAGAGACAGAGUCUCGCUGUGUCACCCAGGCCAGUCUUGAACUCUUGGCUCAAGUGAUCCUCCUGCUUUGGCCUCCCAAAGCACUGGGAUUACAUGUAUGAGGCACUGUGCCCAGCCUGAAUUUUUAAUUUUAUAAUCAUAAUGUUUAUUUCUAAAAUUGUUUCUUCCUCCCCUCUAAGCUUCCCAAUUUUGUCUUACAAUGCUUUUUUCUUAUUUUUUCUUCUUGUGGCUAUAAUAAUUUUAAACACCACUGUUUCAUAGACUCCAUCAGAUUACUGCACUGGCUGGAGGUCUUGCUGUUGAUCCUGCUCUUUGUGGUGUCUGCUGGCUCUCCCUCACAGUAAAUUGGGGGGUGUGUGUGUGUGUGUGUGUGUGUGUGUGUGACGUUUUUGUGUGUAAAGAUGGGUGAGUCAUCUUCAAAGGGGCUUUCUCACCAGCAUGGUUUUUGUAUGUGCUUGCAUCUGAUGGUUAUUAUCAGCCUGGGACCAAUUUUUUCUGUUAAUUUCUUAACUUUCAAUAUUUUGGAUCUUGUGGUAAUGUAAGUUUGGACUUCAAACUCAUGUGAACUUAUAGUUAUGAAUUGUCUGAGUGUAGAGGUGGGGUGAGAUAUGAGGGAGGAUAAGUCCCCCACUAAGAAUCCAGCUCAAACAGCAAAGCUUCUCUGUAGCGGGAGGUAGAUUCUAUUAAUAUUCUAGCCCACUGUUUUUCUGAGGCCAUACCUGUAUGAGGGGGUCUCAGUUCUGAUUCUUUUUCUAAAGCAAGCCCAUAUUUUUGUCUGCUACCCAUGCCUUGGUGUUAAAUCCAAACUUCUGUAUUUCAGGAACAGCACUUUUCAGGGAAUAUGGACCACUCUAUUUAUAGUUUCUUUCUCGUUUGUAGCCCCUGGCACUUGACUUUGCUAAGAUCUCAGCUAUGUCGUUAAACGGAUUUUUGUCACAUUAUAUUUAACAUUAUAAAUAACAUUUCUUGUUUAGAAGGCCUUUUGGGUAAUCUUAUCUGUUACAUUGCUGAAACCAUUACAUUUUUUAAUUUGUCAUGUUGGUCUAAAGAGCUUAGAAUAGUGCCUGGCACAAAAAUAAGAGCUGUGUGUGUUAGCAGUUUCAUUUUUAUGUUACUUUUCUUAUUUUUAUUACUGCUGGAUUAUCUUUAUAGUUCUAAAGCUUCAGCAACUGGUUCUCAUAUUUUCUAGAUAUACCAAAGAUCAUCUACAAAUAACGACAUGAUUGCCUCUUUCUUUUCAGUAUUUAUAAACCUUAUUCUUUUCUUACUGUGCUACCAUCUUCCUCUAGCCCCGCAUUUGCCAGGAAUGGUGAUGGGAGUGGUCAUCUGUGUCUUUUUCCUAACUUAAAUGAGGAAUGCUUUGCAUGUGUGAAGCAUAUGUGCUCUAAAUUUCUGGUUGACACCUUUUAAUGAGUUAAGAACCCUUUUCCUGUUCCUAGCUUACAAAUAGUUUUCAUUAGAAACAAAUUAUGAAUUUUUUAGUUGCAUUUUCUACAUUUACUGAAAUGACAAUACUUCUUUAAUCUACUAGGUUUCUGAAUUGGAUUAGUAUAGUAUAUUUAGUGUUUUUUUGUUGUUGUUUUUUUUAAAUCAACUCAUCAUUCCUAGAAUAUUCCUAAUCCUGGGAUGAAGGUGGGGAACCCCUAUUUGGUCAUGAUAUAUUUCGCUUUUAAUAUACUGCUGGUUUCAAUUGGCUAAUACUUUAUUAGAUUUUUAACCUCUCAGAUCAUAAGGGAAAUUGCUGUAUAGUUAUUUUUUCUUUACUUUUUGCUGUGCUGUGUGUGUGUGCAUGCAUGCAUGUGUGAAAGUUGUUCUUGUCUUGGAAAAUAAAUUGGGAAAUACUCCACCUUUUUAUGUUCUCAGAAGAGUUCCUGUAACAUAGGAAUUACAUGCACAUUUCAUAGACUACUUGUAAAACUGGGCUUUUGUACAUUUUGGAAGAAUGUUUCAGCUCAAUCCUCGUACUCACUCAAUUGCUUUUCAAUAGUGUCCAUUCUGAUAUUCUGCCCAUGCCCCGAUGUUUUUCUUUUAAUUUCACAAUCGACUGUUCUCUCCUAGGAUUUGCCCUUGGUCCUUCUUUCGUAAUGCUCUGUCCUGUGUCAUGGAUGCACUGGGCUCUCCUAAAAUAUAGGAUAUAUCCUCCCCAUCUCCUUUUGCCUCCUCCAGUGCUGCAGUUGGUUGAGUUUUGUGGUGUUGGUUUUCUUCAGAUCUUGGGUGGUCUUAGCUAUGUUUGAUAUAUUUGAGACCCCCUGUUUGCCUGUCCUGUUGAUCCUGUGGAUCCUACACUGCCUCCAGCGCUGUGGAGAGAGCUGGGUUGGGCUGCUGAGGAGGGUGUCCAGGAGCGAGUCUCAGUAGGGUGAAGGCUCCCAUUUCUCCUGGUGAAUUCCAGCCCUGAGGGCAUGGCAAGGCCUCUUUGUCGAAGUGUCCACAGAAAUGUCUGGGGCAGGGGUAGACAAAGGUCUCUGCAUGGCAAGGGCAGGGGAAGGAGGACCUAAUCCUUGGCUGAUCCUAAUGCAGUGACCCUGUGGGCCCAGCACACCUCUCCUUGCCAGCACUCCCACCUUGGCAGCCGCCACCUGCCCCAUCUGAGUAUGCUUUCCUUCUUAUCCUAUGUGGUUUUUGAUUCACAGUGGCCUUCCUUUUCCUGUCGUCAACCACUUAUGAAUGUAUAUACAGACAGGUGUCACUUAAUGACAGGGAUAUGAGGACACGUUCUGAGCAGCAUGUCAUAGGCACUUUUAUCAUUGUGCUAGCCUCAUAGAGUGACUUAUCCAAACCUCAGUGGUACAGCUACUACACACCUAGGCUAUAUGGCUACAAACCUGUACAGCAUGUGACUGUACUGAUUGCUGUAGGCAGUUGUAACAUAAUGGUAUUUGUGUAUCUGAACAUAUCUAAACACAGAAAAGGUGCAGAAAAAAUAUGGUAUAAAAGAUAGCAAAUGGUACACCCCUAUAGGACACUUCUGACUGGAGCUUGGAGGACUGGAAGUUGCUCUGGGUUUGUCAGUGAGUGUAAGUGAAUGUGAAGGCCUAAGACAUUACUGUACACUUUUAUACAACUGGCAGUGCAGUAGGGUUGUUUACAACAGCAUCAAGAUAAACACAUAAUAUAUUGCACUGCAAUGUUCUGAGGGCUGUGAUGUACUAGGUGGUAAGAAUUUUUUAGCUCUAUUAUAGUCUUUUGGGACCACCAUUGUGUAUUCCAUCCAUGAUUGACUGAAACAUCAUUAUGUGGUGUAUGAUUGUAUAUAUCUAAAUAGUAUACAAGUAUUUAUGAGUUUUUUUGCGUGUACUUUUUUUUCUGUUGUCUUGGAAUUUUGUCUUCAUCUAAUGACAUUGAUUUAACUUCCUUUAACCUCAGUUUAUAAACACUUAAUUUAUGAAAGUAAUUGUAGAACAUAUUUUUAAAAUCUGAAUCUUUACAACACAAAUGGCAAAAGGUUCUUUCAGAAGUUAGAAUUCAGUUUCCCAUUCAAUGUCUGUUCUGUUAAAUCACUGGGAACGUCAUUUACGCAAAGGCAGAAGAAGAGGUAACUUCCUGCCCACCAAGCCACACUAACGGUACAUUUUACACCCUCAUUGGCACAAGCGUCAGAAGUAAAUGAAAACAAAAUCACUCUAUCUGCAGACAGAGUGACACUCUAACAUUUUCAGUCUGUUGGGUAUGUUUUAAUCCUAAAAUUAAUGUUUGGAAUAGAAUUUUGAAAUUGUUUUAAUCUGGAGAAUAAAAAUUACAUUUUGCUGAGCAAGUAAACUGAACUUAAAAUAGAAAAUAUUUUUCACUAAAAAUAGGAAUAAAAAGAUGGAAGUGAAGAAUGGAAAGAAGUCUGCAGUGAGCAGCUUGAGAAGGUAAUUGUUCAUCUGAACAAAAGAAAUUCUUGUAGUCCUAUGGCCUUCCUGGUUCCAUGGCCACCUGCCCCCAGCAUGGUCAACCAAGCACAGUGUGAUGUGCUGACAAUCUCACCUUGUGUGCAUUGUGGGUUUCAGAUUUGGAAAAAGACUGGCAUCAGCUUCCACGGAGAUUACUGUAUUGUUUUGUGCAGUUUCUGAAUUUAAGACAGGAAAAAUCUGACUAAUGCAUAUCACCAGCAUCGUGGCUGUCAAGAAUUUCUAUGUUGUUUCAACUUUCUGCUUCUUUGGGAGAGAGGAAGGGCAGCACCUUAGCUUUGUGCCUUGGUUUGAGGAACCGUGUUUCUCAAUAUUGGCCACCACCAUUGAUCCUUUUCUUCUUCACAGGGAAUUCGGUGCCCUGUGCCUUUGCUUUCGCUUUGCAAGACAAUCAAGGCCGACCUGGGCAUGGGUCCCCACUCAGCGUCCCGACCCCGCACCGGGCGCUGAGGCAGAGAGCGCGAGAGGGCGGGGGUCCACCUUCUUCCUCAGUGGCAGCUCACCCGUGCGUAACUGUCGUUUGGAGGACAGUGAUACAAGUUAGGAAAACCAGGCAUUUGUUUAACUCUUCUGCCUGAGGAAAAGCAAUGUUGGACAUUUGCAGUUCUGGCGAUUCAGCUUGGUUUUCCUAAAAGACAGGCCCCCACCCCUUCCCCCGGGGGCGCGGGUCUUGUUUGGAUACCGGCAGCCUGGGGCCAGGGAUGUGCUAGGGCAACAAAGAUGGUCCUGGAGGAGGAGGCCGUUCGUUUCUGCCGCUCCCGGGAGUUUUUGGGCUCAACUCACAGGACGAAGUUUUGCUUUCAGUGGUAAAGCACACUUUCUCCCGCCUGCUUUUGUUCCUGUCUGGUUCUUGCAUAUGCUGCCUUUUCUCCUUUUAGUUUUUAGUUGGUCGUAAACAGUAAUAUAAAUAAACAAACCAAAACAAAGCGCGGUGUAACUACCUGUGACACCAGGAAAACCCUGUGCACAGCGGGGCUGGCGCUGCGGGCGGACAGCGUUGGGCCCACCCGAGCUCCCUGGCUGCGAACUCUCUGCUCCCGUCCGCACCCGCUGCCACCCACAGACAGGAAAUACAGCACCCCACCUGCGGAGACGCCGGCGGCUGGGGGACAGCACGCUUUGUUAAGAAAUCAGAAUGCAAAAUGGCACACCGUGCACAACUGGGUCUACACAGGCAAGGGAAGAGGAGGAAAUGUAAACAGCUGUCCCGAGUUUACUAAGAGGGCAAAGUGAGUAAAUUUUUUUCAUUAGUCCUGCUUUCACAACAAUCGCAUUUUAGAAUAACUGUAACUUGUAUUGAGAGGGAGGCCCCUCCUCCACUUCGUGACCACAGUGUGGAAGCUGCACUGCGGGCAGCCAGGGUUUUCCUCGGCCUCCAUAGAAAGACGCUUAACUUCUUAUAUGGUUGUGGCAAGCACUAAAAUCCUGAUUUUUACAGAAUAGUAGUAAAAAUGCCUCAGUGACUUACUUUGAAAACAGUACAUUGGUACAUGGCUCUUGUACCCAGUAUCAGGAAUGUACAAAUGUCUUUUUAUUCAAAAGUACAAAAUGAAUUAUCUGUAGGCACGGACAAUGACAGCAAUAAACCAUUAUAUAUUUUGUCAACUGAAACCAGUAACUGAUGGUUAUAGUGAUUUCUUAAACAUCAGCCAGCCUUUUCUUCAUUUUCUCCAACUGACUUCUCUGAAAUUAUUAGUGAGGAACACUGCCUUGGGCUUCCUGUCACAGCUCAUUAAUAAAGGUAAAGCACUAUUCUAGGAAUUAGAACAUGCCACCUCUCAUACCACCUCCCAUUCCACCCAUUCCAGGGUUCUUCUCUUCUUUAGGAAUUUCUGUGACUACAGCUUCUGCUGUAGUUAACAGAGAGGCCAUGCCAUCAGCAUCCAAUAUAGUAGUGCCCACCAUGCCUGCCCCAUUCCUGUAACCCCCGCCUGGCUGCUCACCAGUUUCCUCUCAGAGAUUUCCUCUCCCUAUUUUUGAGUUAAUUAUUGACUUCUUUUUGAAACCUCCCUUUUAGACUUGUGCAUUUUUGAAGGCAGAAUUAAAUGGUGCCAUUCUGCCUUUUGCAAUGAUGACCUUGCAUCUUUGGUUUAACAGUUACCAAGAUAUUAAGCAAAAUUUGUCUCAGAUCUUUUCUUUUUCCCUUAAAGACAUACAUGUGACAAAAAGAAUUAGCCACCCCAGUUCCUUUUCAUGUCCUCUCUCUGCAGAGGUAACUCUCUGAUGUGGUGUGGCUGUGCCCCCACCCAAAUCUCAACUUGAAUUGUAGAUCCCAGAAUUUCCAUGUGUUGUGGGAGGGACCAGGCGGAGGUAAUUGAAUCAUGAGGGCCGGUCUUUCCCAUGCUAUUCUCAUGGUAGUGAACAAGUCUCACGAGAUCUGAUGGGUUUAUCAGGGGUUUCUGCUUUUGCUUCUUUCUCAUUUUCUUUUGCCAUCACCAUGUAAGAAGUGCCUUUCACCUCCUGCCAUGAUUCUGAGGCCUGCCCAGCCAUGUGGAACUGUAAGUCCAAUUAAACCUCUUUUUCUUCCCAGUCUUGCGUAUGUCUUUAUUAGCAGCAUGAAAAUGGACUAAUACAGUCAGUUGGUACCAGUAGAAUGGAAUGUUGCUGAAAAGAUACCCAAAAAUGUGGAAGUGACUUUGGAACUGGGUAAUAGGCAGAGGUUAGAACAGUUUGGAAGGCUCAGAAGAGGACAGGAAAAUGUGGGAAAGUUUGGAACUCCCUGGAGACUUGUUGAAUGGGUUUGACCAGAAGCCUGAUAGCAAUAUGGACAAUAAGGUCCAGACUGAGGUGGUCUCAGAUGGAGAUGAGAAACUUGUUUUGGGAACUGGAGUGAAGGUGACUCUUGUUACGUUUUAGCAAAGAUACUGGCAGCAUUUUGCCCCUGCCCUAGAGAUGUGUGGGACUUUGAACUUGAGAGCAAUGAUUUAGGGUAUCUAGCGGAAGAAAUUUCCAAGCAGCAAAGCAUCCAAGAGAUGACUUGGAGGCUGUUAAAGGCAUUUAGUUUUAUAAGGGAAGCAGUGCAUAAAAGUUUGGAAAAUUUGCAGCCUGACAAUGUGAUAGAAAAGAAAAACCCAUUUUCUGAGGAGAAAUUCAAGUCGGCUGUAGAAAUUUGCAUAAAGUAACGAGGAGCCAAAUGUCAGUCCCCAAGAGGAUGGGGGAAAAUGUCUCCAGGACAUGUCAGAGGUCUUCACAGCAGCUCCUCCUAUCACAGGCCCGAAGGCCUAGGAGGAAAAAAGUGGUUUCAUGGGCUGGGCCCAGGGUCCCCCAGCUGUGUGCAGCCUACGGACUUGGUGUCCUGCAUCCCAGCUGCUCCAGCUGUGGCUGAAAGGGGCCAACAUAGAGCUCAGGCCAUGGCUUCAGAUGGUGCAAGCCCCAAGCCUUGGCAGCUUCCACAUGGUGUUGAGCCUGAGGAUGCACAGAAGACAAGAAUUGAGGUUUGGGAACCUCCACCUGGAUUUCAGAAGAUGUAUGGAAAUGCCUAGAUGCCCAGGCAGAAGUUUGCUGCAGGGGCGGGGCACUCAUGGAGAACCUUUGCUAGGGCAGUGUGGAAGGAAAUGUGGAGUCAGGGCCCCCAGGCAGAGUCCCUACUGGGGCAUCACUUAGUGGAGCUAUAAGAAGAGGGCCACUGUCCUCCAGACCCCAGAAUGGUAGAUGCACCAACAGUUUGCACUGUGCACCUGGAAAAGCCGCAGACAAUGGCAGCCCAUGAAAGCAGCUGGGCAGGAGUCUGUACCCUGCAAAGCCACAGGGGCGGAGCUUCCCAAGACCAUGGGAACCUACUUUUUACAUCAGCGUGACCUAGAUGUGAGACUUGGAGUCAAAGGAGAUCGUUUUGGAGCUUUAAAAUUUGACUGCCCUGCUGGAUUUUGGAUGCAUGGGUCCUGAAACCCUUUUGUUUUGGCCAAUUUCUCCCAUUUGGAACGGCUGUAUUUACCCAAUACCUGUACCUCCAUUCUAUGUAGGAAGUAACUAGCUUGCUUUUGAUUUUACAGGCUCAUAGGCAGAAGGGACUUUCCUUGUCUUGGAUGAGACUUUGGACUGUUGACUUUUGGGUUCAUACUGAAAUGAGUUAACACUUUGGGGGACUGUUGGGAAGGCAUGAUUGGUUUUCAAAUGUGAGGACAUGAGAUUUGGAGGGGUUGGGGCAGAAUGAUAUGGUUUGGCUGUGUCCCCUCCCAAAUGUUGCAUUGUAGCUCCCAGAAUUCCCAUGUGCUGUGGGAGGGACCCAGUGGGAAGUAAUUGAAUCAUGGGGGCUGGUCUUUCCCAUGCUAUUCUUGUGAUAGUGAAUAAAUUUCACGAGAUCUGAUGGGUUUAUCAGGGGUUUCCACUUUUUCUACUUUCUCACUUUCUCUUGCCACUGCCAUGUAAGAAGUGCCUUUUGCCUCCCACCAUGAUUCUGAGGCCUCCCCAGCCAUGUAGAACUGUAAGUCCAGUUAAAUCUCUUUUUCUUUCCAGUCUCUGGUUGUCUUUAUCAGCAGGUUGAAAAUGGACUAAUAUACUCCCCUUCUAAAGUUGACGUGUAUUGGUCUCCAGGCAUGCUUCAUUCACUGACCAUGCCUUCCUGGCCAUCGCUGUCCCUGGGGUCCACACUGGAUCUGCAGUGUGGUUGGAUCUGCAGUGUGGUUGGAUCUGCAACCAACUGCAGUUCAAGAAUACGUUUUUAGAAAAUAACAAUACAAUAAAAUAUAAUACAAACAAAAAACAAUACAGUAUGACAACUAUUUGCCUAGCAUUUACAUUGUAUUAGGUAUUGCAAGUAGUCCAUAAAUGGUGUAAAGUACACAGGAGGAUGUGCCUAUGUUAUAUGCACAUGUGUCCUAUUCUCAAAUGGUUAUUUAAAUUUUGACUUUAACUGUAAUUACUUUUUUAAAAUAUUUUUAAGACUAUUUCCAUGUUUUUCUUCCCUUUAUUCACCUUGAUCUCAUGCUGGAGGUUUGUCUCUCUUAUUAGUCUCUUCAAAAAAUCAGCCUUUUAUUAUUUAUUUGAUUACUCUGUUGUUAACUUUCUAACAGACCUCAGGUGCUCAGAACCAGAUAAGCCAGAAUUCUUGGCAGAAGAGGCUCCCUGUCAUCCUGUCAUGCCUGUUUUAUUUUGGUUAUGCCUGUACUAGUAAGCACCCAUGAACCCACUCUCCAGAAUUAGAGAAAGGACACCCCAAUAACUCACAGCUACCUGUCUAUUCCUCUCCUCUCCUCCACCUUUCUUCCCCAGCUAGUAAACACUAUUCUCAGUUUUGUACUAUUUCCUUGCUUAUAUGUUUGUAUAUACCUAGAAGAACAUUAUUUUUAGUUGUUCUUAAUGUAAUAAAAAGGGAUCUUGCUGUACUUAAUAUUCUGAGACUUUGUUUUUAAAGUCAAUGUUAUACUGGUGUGUUUUAUCCACAUUAUUGCAUGUAGCUGUAUAUAUUAGUCCGUUUUCAUGCUGCUGAUAAAGACAUACCUGAGACUGGGUAAUUUAUAAAGAAAAAGAAGUUUAAUGGACUCACAGUUCCACAUGGCUGGGGAGGCUUCAUAAUCAUGGCGGAAGGCAAGGGAAGAACAAAGAUAUGUCUUAUAUGGCAGCAGGUGAGAGAGAAUGAGAACCAAGCAAAAGGCAUUUCCCCUUAUAAAACCAUCGGAUCUCCUGAGACUUAUUCACUACCACAAGAACAGCAUGGGGGAAACCACCCCCCAUGAUUCAAUCAUCUCUCACCGGGUGCUUCCCACAACAGGUGGGAAUUAUGGGAGCUACAAUUCAAGAUGAAAUUUGGUGGGGACACAGCCAAACCAUAUCACUGUACUUUUAAGUUUCACCAUGGUAUGAUAUGCCAUUUUGUAAAUAUUCCACAAUUUAUCUAUUCUCUCUUACCUGGUUCUAAUUUCUUAUUACCUAUGUGAUUUCUUAUUGAAAGGCAUUCAGUUAUCUCAGGUUUUUCCAUUAUAAAUACUGCAGCUAUUAACACUUUGAUAUAUGCCUCCCGGUACACAUGAGUGAGGUUGUCUCUUGGACAUAGAGCCAGGAAUGGAAUUGUAUCCAUUGUGCCAACUAUUACACUUUAAGUAUAAGAAAUCCUGCUGAUUUGUAUCCUUUCCAAUAUGUAAUGCUAUCAGACUUUAAUUUUUGUAGACCAAAUUAGUUUAAAAUCUCAUUCUGACCUUUAUUUGAUUUUCUUUAUGUCUAAUGGUUUCAGACAUUUCUUCAUGUGUGUUUCCUUUUCAGUUCUUUUUCCUGUUCAUUUUUAUUGGCUUGUUUGUCCUUCUCUUAUUGAUUUGUAGGGGUUCUUUGUAUUCUUGAUUCAGAUUCAGUGUAGAUUAUGUAAAUAUUAUCUCCAAGUUUCUAAUGUGUCUUUCUGUUUCACUAAGUUAUUUGUUGAUGAGCUUACUUUUUUAUAUAUAGUCAAAUUUAUCAAUCUUUUAUUUUAUUGCUAGUGUUUGCUGUGUCUUUUUUAAAAAAUCUUUUCCUACUCUACAUUUGGAAAGACUUUUACUUAUAUUUCCUAGUGAAAUUUUUACUUUUGUCAUUUAAGUACUUAAUCCAGCUAGAAUUAAUUUUUAAGCAUGGAGAGAGGUAGAGGUUCAAUUUCAUUUGUUUCCCCAAAUGAAUAUGCUCAUCAUCAUUUUCUUCCUUUGGUGGCUUUGGAAUUUAGUCUGUUAAUUCUUCAAAUAAUAAUUUGAGUUAGAUCCUUGUUUCAUAGUUUUUUAGUCUUCCUUGCUUUUUUUUUUUUUCUUUCUUUCUUUUUUUUGAGACAGUCUGAUUCUGUCGCCCAGGCUGGAGUACAGUGGCACGAUCUCGGCUCACUGCAACCUCCUCCGGCUCCCAGGUUCAAGUGAUUCUCCUGCUUCAGCCUCCUGAGUAGCUGGGAUGACAGGCGCCUGCCACCAUGCCCAGCUAAUUUUUGUAUUUUUAGUAGAGACGAGGUUUCACCAUGUUGGCCAGGCUGGUCUUGAACUCCUGACCUCAAGUGAUCCACCCGCCUCAGCCUCCCAAAGUGCUGAGAUUACAGGUGUGAGCCAUUGCACCCUGCCCUCUUCCUUGCUUUUUAAUACUUGCAUUUAAAGCUAUAACUUUCCCUCUAAGUACUGCUUUAGGUUCAUCCUAUAUUUUUUAUAUGCUAUGCAUUCAUCAUUAUUUGAUUCUAAUUUCUAAUUUUCAAUAUGAUUUCUUCCAAUUCAUAAGCUAUUUAAAGUGUUGAAUUUUCAAAUACAUUUGCAGGGUUGACUGUCUUUCUGUAAUUGAUUUUUAGUGCUGUUUCACUGUGGUCAGAGACUGUGCUCUGCGUGGGAUUGGCUAUUUUGGUGUUUCUUGAGGCCACUUUUGUUGCUUAGCAACUGAUCAGAAUGUGCUGAUUGUUGGGUGUUCUGUGACUGUUUAUUAGGUCAAGUAUGUAAACUGGGUUGCUUAAAUUUUCUGUGUCCUUGCUAAUCUUUAUUUUCCCUGCUUAAUCUAUCAAUUACUGAACGAAGGUAUGUGAACUUUUCCAUUAUUAUAUGGAUUUUAAAAUUUCUCUUUAUAAAUCUAUCAGUUUUUGAUUUUUCUGUUUUAAGACUAUAUUGUUAGAAACAUACAGAUUCUGGAUUUUAAAAAUAUCUUUAUGGUGAAUUUUCAUUGUCAUAUAUGAUAGAAAUUGUUCCCAUGAUCACAUGAUAACCUCUUUCACCCUAAUAAUGCUUUUUGUCUUGUUUAUUUUGUCUAAUGUAAGUAUAGCUAGAACUGUUCUCUUUUGAUUAAUAUUUGCCUAGUAUGUUUUUUCAUUUAUCAUUUUACAAAUAAUUUUCAUCAGUAUACAGAUAAUUUUCAUCAGUAUACAAACAUAGUCAAUGUAUAACUGAGAUUACUAAUAAAUUUGGAUUUAUUUCUGUCAUUACAUGUGUGUUGUAUUUAUUAUCAUGCUUUGUUUUCAUCUUUAACUUUAUUUUCCUCUCCUGUCUUCUAUGAAUUUUUUUUUUUUUUUUUUGAGAUGGAGUUUUCCUCUUGUUGCCCAGGCUAGUUGCUCUUGUUGCCCAGGAGUGCAGUGGUGUGAUCUCAGCUCACUGCAACCUCUGCCUCCUGGGUUCAAGCAGUUCUCCUGCCUCAGCCUCGCGAGUAGCUGGGAUUAUAGGCAUCUGCCACCAUGCCCAGCUAAUUUUUUGUAUUUUUUUAGUAGAGAUGUUUUGGCCAGGCUGGUCUUGAACUCCUGACCUCAGGUGAUCUACCUGACUCAGCUUACCGAAGUGUUGGGAUUACAGGCGUGAGCCACCGCGCCUGGCCCUGUCUCCUAUGAAUUAAUUGGACUUUUGUUAUUCGCUUUCCCUUUUUCACUGAAGUUAUACAGUUUAUUCCUAGUCUUUACAAAUUUAAUAUGCACUUUUAAAGCCAGUAUUUUCAUCUUCUUUCCCCAGAAUAAAAGAACCACAGAACUCCGUAACUGUUAUUAUUGUAUCUUUCCCUCAACUUGCAUGUUCUAUUGUCUUAAUUUUAGGUCCACCCUGUUUCUAAUGAUCCCCAUUCAUCAUUAGUAUUGUUUCAAACAGUUUGUGGUCGCUAGGUUUAGAUUUCCCUGCAUGUUUAUUACUUUUCCUGCUCAUUGCAUCUCACUCUGUCUUUGUUUCUGAAUUAUGUUCUUCACUAGUUCUCUCAGUGUGUUUAUGUGUGUGUGUGUGGGGUGCUCUAUUUGAAUGAAAAUUACUUCAUUUCACUCUCAUUCUGGAAUGCUUGUUGAACAGGGCAUGGAAUGUUCAGUUAAAAUUAUUUGUUUCCAGCACAUUGAAGAUGUGAUUCUCUUUUCUUCAGACCUCUUCUAUUGCACUUUAGGCAUCUGCGGUCCGUCAAGUGGAAGCUGGUUGCUAGGUUAUUAGUCUUUUCUCCCUGGUUGCUAACUAGAUUUUCUCUUUGUCUUUGACAUUUUAUGAUUUUUAUUGAGGUAUAUCCAU
RNAcentral lists this long non-coding RNA (13574 nucleotides) under Homo sapiens (human). RNAcentral's name for it is "non-protein coding lnc-ERCC6-1:1". Lineage: Eukaryota; Metazoa; Chordata; Mammalia; Primates; Hominidae. The record is from RNAcentral.